Molecule: ribosomal RNA, 550 nt
Filed under: uncultured bacterium
Lineage: Bacteria
Description: bacterial SSU rRNA
Rfam family: Bacterial small subunit ribosomal RNA
Source: RNAcentral
UAGGGAAUCUUCGGCAAUGGACGGAAGUCUGACCGAGCAACGCCGCGUGAGUGAAGAAGGUUUUCGGAUCGUAAAGCUCUGUUGUAAGAGAAGAACGAGUGUGAGAGUGGAAAGUUCACACUGUGACGGUAUCUUACCAGAAAGGGACGGCUAACUACGUGCCAGCAGCCGCGGUAAUACGUAGGUCCCGAGCGUUGUCCGGAUUUAUUGGGCGUAAAGCGAGCGCAGGCGGUUAGAUAAGUCUGAAGUUAAAGGCUGUGGCUUAACCAUAGUAGGCUUUGGAAACUGUUUAACUUGAGUGCAAGAGGGGAGAGUGGAAUUCCAUGUGUAGCGGUGAAAUGCGUAGAUAUAUGGAGGAACACCGGUGGCGAAAGCGGCUCUCUGGCUUGUAACUGACGCUGAGGCUCGAAAGCGUGGGAAGCAAACAGGAUUAGAUACCCUGGUAGUCCACGCUGUAAACGAUGAGUGCUAGGUGUUAGACCCUUUCCGGGGUUUAGUGCCGUAGCUAACGCAUUAAGCACUCCGCCUGGGGAGUACGACCGCAAGGUUG